Molecule: ribosomal RNA, 468 nt
Filed under: uncultured bacterium
Lineage: Bacteria
Description: partial 16S ribosomal RNA
Rfam family: Bacterial small subunit ribosomal RNA
Source: RNAcentral
GACGAACGCUGGCGGCGUGCUUAACACAUGCAAGUCGAACGGAAAGGCCCUGCUUUUGUGGGGUGCUCGAGUGGCGAACGGGUGAGUAACACGUGAGUAACCUGCCCUUGACUUUGGGAUAACUUCAGGAAACUGGGGCUAAUACCGGAUAGGAGCUCCUGCUGCAUGGUGGGGGUUGGAAAGUUUCGGCGGUUGGGGAUGGACUCGCGGCUUAUCAGCUUGUUGGUGGGGUAGUGGCUUACCAAGGCUUUGACGGGUAGCCGGCAUGAGAGGGUGACCGGCCACAUUGGGACUGAGAUACGGCCCAGACUCCUACGGGAGGCAGCAGUGGGGAGUAUUGCACAAGGGGCGGAAGCCUGAUGCAGAGGCGCCGCGUGCGGGAUGACGGCCUUCGGGUUGUAAACCGCUUUCGCCUGAGACGAAGCGUGAGUGACGGUAAUGGGUAAAGAAGCACCGGCUAACUACGUG